RNAcentral lists this ribosomal RNA (449 nucleotides) under uncultured bacterium. Its description in RNAcentral is "partial 16S ribosomal RNA". It matches the Rfam family "Bacterial small subunit ribosomal RNA", at positions 29 to 523 of the family's 1533-position model. The record is from RNAcentral.
AACGAACGCUGGCGGUAGGCCUAACACAUGCAAGUCGAACGCCCUAGCAAUAGGGAGUGGCAGACGGGUGAGUAACACGUGGGAACCUUCCCUAUACUACGGAAUAGCCCAGGGAAACUUGGAGUAAUACCGUAUACGCCCGAGAGGGGAAAGAUUUAUCGGUAUAGGAUGGGCCCGCGUCGGAUUAGCUAGUUGGUGAGGUAAUGGCUCACCAAGGCGACGAUCCGUAGCUGGUUUGAGAGAACGACCAGCCACACUGGGACUGAGACACGGCCCAGACUCCUACGGGAGGCAGCAGUGGGGAAUAUUGGACAAUGGGCGCAAGCCUGAUCCAGCCAUGCCGCGUGAGUGAUGAAGGCCUUAGGGUUGUAAAGCUCUUUUGCCGGGGACGAUAAUGACGGUACCCGGAGAAUAAGUCCCGGCUAACUUCGUGCCAGCCGCCGCAGUAA